RNAcentral lists this long non-coding RNA (808 nucleotides) under Cavia porcellus (domestic guinea pig). RNAcentral describes it as "lncRNA (ENSCPOG00000040412.1)". The record is from RNAcentral. Lineage: Eukaryota; Metazoa; Chordata; Mammalia; Rodentia; Caviidae.
CAGGGGUGGUGGUGGGGCUUCCUGGAGUGCUGCUCGGCACCCGGCUUCCCUCGCGGCGGGGCGGAGGUCGCAGCUCCCCGGCGGAUUCCGGUGUGCCCGCUCCCGCGGAUGCUUGGGCCUGGGAGGUGGAGGAGAGCAGAGGGGCCCAGACCGCGAGAUCGACGGGACGCCAAGCGCAGUGCUGUCCCUUCCCGCCUGGGGGCGCGAGCGUGGGGAGCUGCUCAGCCCAAAGACACUACAGAGAUCAGCUGGGAGGAUAACUCUGCACACUGGACGCAGCCCGGGAGCACGGGUACAAGUAGCUGGCCAGGAAACAGAAGUGUUGUUUGUCCAAAAGUCCAUUCACACCCUGGAAUGGCCUGGACAUCCUGGUCUUGUUUCCUGCCAGCCUGGAAACUAACAGAAGUGAAUGUUGACCGACUGCUUCCUUGGCUGCACACAUUUGCUGUACAUAAUGAUGACAUUCAUCAUAAUAAAAGAGCUAUUUUAAGUUGAUCCACAUACUACAGCUAAACUGAACUUGGAGGAGCUCCUUCGCUAUCUUUGGCAUGUGUCUCUUGGAAAGCGCCUCCUCCUCAAGACUGCGGGAAGGAAGACUCCGCUGGGGAUGGGAGAGGGAGACCGAGUGGCUGUGCUCCUGGAGUCCGUGUCGGCACACUGAGCAGUCCUGUCAGGAACAGCAAAGCAGACUCAGAACCACAGCAGGGACCAGGUGAGGUGUGCUUGGAUGUUAUAGUUGAUGAUACACAGGCACAUUUUUUUUAAGUUCUUGAAUUUGCUUAUUUAAUGGCUUCACUGAACAUUCUUA